Molecule: ribosomal RNA, 1079 nt
Filed under: Triticum aestivum (bread wheat)
Lineage: Eukaryota; Viridiplantae; Streptophyta; Magnoliopsida; Poales; Poaceae
Description: partial small subunit ribosomal RNA
Source: RNAcentral
GUAAAAAAAACGUACGCCGGGUAGAACAUAGGCGGUACACGGGUGCAGGACGGUAGGGUGGGGAAAGGGAGACUUUGGAGGGUCAGGGUGCGGCGUAGAAGAGAAGAGGGUUCAGGGUUGUUGAAGAAGCGGCGGCGGCGGUACGCGGUUGGGGCGACAGCGGGCAACUAGGCCGACGCGUGGAGUGGGAGCAGCGAGAGGGACCGGGUUGUUGUAGUGGGUGAGGGACGAGAAGGAGGGCUGCGCCUUCACAGGAAAGCUCAGAGCAGAGACAGAAGCACCAGGAGUCUAGACCGUCGGACGCCGGUGUUGCGACGGCCUAGAUUGGUUGGUUAUCCACGAGCUGCGGCGAGGAGUCCUGGCGCAGCCAGAAGAAGCAGACGAGAGAGAGAGAGGGAGUUGGAGGGUGCCGUACAUAGCUGGGGAAGACUUUGAGGAGUAGGCUCACCGGUGGACUACGGCGGCACAUCUUGUGCGAGUGAGGACGGAAGCGGGCGGACAUGGUCCUAAACGAGGACACCAAGUUCAACUUAUGGCCCCUCUACCUCUACCACUGUACCGACCGAAGACACCACCACCGGCAACCCGGAUAGACUUCUCGUUGUUACAUUGCGAAAACUCGAAUCCAUGUUCUUCAGCAUAAACUUUCCCCUGCUCUACUACAAGUAGUUUUACUUUGACUUUUCCUCACCCUUUGUUAUGGCCUCCUUAGCACUAGAUACCGUUCCCACUACUACAGAUACCGCUACUAACAGUACUAGAUAUACCGUUACCCGCAAUACUAGGUAUACCACUACUUCUACUCAGACUAGAAAGAAGUCCUAUACGUUGUUUCACUUGAAUACUUCAAAACCAGUUAAAAUCGAAUACGUAUUACGAACCUGGUAAUAUAGAAUCAAUGAUAAAAACAAAUCGUGAAGUUUGAAGGAUCUAUCUAGUAAUACUAGCUACAUUAAACCUAGGCGAUUUAUAUGAUAUACAAUGAACCAGUACACACCAACACGUUAAUAUUCUAUCAUAUAAACUUCACCUUUUGUUAGGAAAGCCCCACUAAUUACCGGAUGGUAUGUUGUUGUCUC